AUUGAACGCUGGCGGCAGGCCUAACACAUGCGAGUCGAACGGUAACAGGAAGCAGCUUGCUGCUUUGCUGACGAGUGGCGGACGGGUGAGUAAUGUCUGGGAAACUGCCCGAUGGAGGGGGAUAACUACUGGAAACGGUAGCUAAUACCGCAUAACGUCGCAAGACCAAAGAGGGGGACCUUAGGGCCUCUUGCCAUCGGAUGUGCCCAGAUGGGAUUAGCUAGUAGGUGGGGUAACGGCUCACCUAGGCGACGAUCCCUAGCUGGUCUGAGAGGAUGACCAGCCACACUGGAACUGGAACACGGUCCAGACUCCUACGGGAGGCAGCAGUGGGGAAUAUUGCACAAUGGGCGCAAGCCUGAUGCAGCCAUGCCGCGUGUAUGAAGAAGGCCUUCGGGUUGUAAAGUACUUUCAGCGGGGAGGAAGGGAGUAAAGUUAAUACCUUUGCUCAUUGACGUUACCCGCAGAAGAAGCACCGGCUAACUCCGUG
Molecule: ribosomal RNA, 490 nt
Filed under: uncultured bacterium
Lineage: Bacteria
Description: partial 16S ribosomal RNA
Rfam family: Bacterial small subunit ribosomal RNA
Source: RNAcentral